GUGGGCCCAGUCUCUAGGGUGGGCUGCCUGCCCUGGCUGAGCUGGAUUAAAUCGGUGCUCUAGCGGGUGGGGCAGACCCUGGGCUAGCAGGCCUCCGGGAGAACUCCAAUGGCGCCUGUGUCAGCACGUCCACACCAGGCCACAACAAUGGCUGCCGCCAAUGUCCCAGUCCCUGGAGAGGUCUCACCUCUCACCGAGAUGCACACAGGGCCUAUCAGAGGAUUCUGUAGACUAGAGAUCAGCUGAAUCUGCCUCUAGAAGAUGGUUGCAGCUGCCUUAAGAUAACUCUUCACCCAAGGUGCUCGUCCAAGUGCCUCAAGGAUGGAGGGCCCGGCCUCCCGAGCCUACAGAACGAUUGUAUGACUGUUUUUGUGUCUUUUUCUACAAAGACUUGGAAUUUGUGGAAGAAUUCCACCAGAGGCAGCAUUCAUUGUGAGAUGGUCCAGAGGAGAACUAGGAACUAGAGCUGACUCACCACAAGCAUGAGAGACCUGGACUUAGGCAAAAGAAUUGGACAAUUGUGAAUGACCAAAUGCCUUAGGGCCACACCCUGAGGACUUUUCUCAGCACAGUUUUCUAGAUCCAUUACAGCCCAUUGAAUAAAGGAAAAUGAUAACACCACC
This is a long non-coding RNA of Diceros bicornis minor, 623 nucleotides long. RefSeq lists it as uncharacterized. The transcript is spliced from 2 exons. Lineage: Eukaryota; Metazoa; Chordata; Mammalia; Perissodactyla; Rhinocerotidae. The record is from RefSeq and is a predicted model, not a curated record.